Marmota monax (woodchuck) is the source of this 1827-nucleotide long non-coding RNA. RefSeq lists it as uncharacterized. The record is from RefSeq and is a predicted model, not a curated record. Lineage: Eukaryota; Metazoa; Chordata; Mammalia; Rodentia; Sciuridae. The transcript has 2 exons.
AGCUCUGAAUUCUCCUGGUUAAAACUGAACACAGCCACUGGAAGGGGAAGUCUUAAGUGUGUGAUGGGCUGGUCCAAUCGGUUGGAGAGAUGCAGAGGGAGUGGCAGGCCCUGUCUGGAGGACUCGCAGUGGGAGAGGCCUUGUUCUGUGGGGAAGCAGCAGCAGAGAGGUGACCUAGACCCCAGAUGCCUCUCUGCCUGGAGGAAUGGCUUAAGCCAGGAGGAGUCGGGGAGGAACAAGGAGAUGUGCUGAGCUAAGCUGAAGUGAAAGAUGUGCCGAGCAGAUGGGGCCAGGAGGCCUACACCAGCCACCCCGGGGGAAGGGCCUGGCAGGAUGGGUUGACCAGCGUGGGAAGAGGGACCUGAGACACACCGGUAGCUCCUGGAGAACUGUGCUUGCCUAUCCUGGAUCCAAGUUCAAAGUUCCAUGAGUGACACCCCAGCCUUCAGUCUUCAUCUCCCUUCAGGAACAGAGGAGACAAGGGACCUGCGGUGUAGAAACCUCACAUUCUAGAGAGACACCACCCAGUCCCAACCUCGGUUUACAGGCUGAGACUGGGAUCAGCUGUCCUGACUCUAGAGACAUUCAAAUCAAGACACGGUCCUCUUCUCAAAGGCUUAAUCCCAGACAUUUCUACCUUUUCUACACUGCUUUGGAAAAAAAAAAAAGAGUAUGCCCAUCCUUAUUCAUAGACUCUUAUUUUUUUCCCUGAGAUAAGAGUUCAUUAGAGUCAGGAUGCACCCCUGAGUGACACGCACUUUCCGUCUUUCCAUCCUAACCUCAUAUGUAAAAGCCCCCAGAAGGUGGUGGAGAUGGAAAAUUCACAUUAUGCCAACUUACUUAUUAGUGUCUUCCAACCACCCCGUCCCCAUUUAAAAAAAUUAAAUUUAAAAAAAAAAACUAUUCCCAAAUAUCUAACCUGCCUAAUUCCCUUUUCCAUUUUGCAAGUUCAUUUUCUCAAAAGCAAUGCAUCUACACCAAUAAGAUCCACCCCAUUCAAAGCCACACCUUGGAGAUGGCUAAAGUUAGGACAGUCCUUAAAGUGGCCUCUGCCAUUGGAAGCAAGAGUCACACCUUCAGGACCCCUUCGUGCCCUUCAGACUCUUGUACCUAGGUGUGUAAUCACACAUAAACAUACACACACAUAUGCAAACACACACACAUGUGGCAGCCUAGUGAGCCAAAACGAGAAAAAGGCCCAUGUAGGAGAGGAGAAAAUGUCCCCUUUAUAUCUACAGGCUGCCUCCAGCAAAAGCAUUCCUAAAUACGAUAGGUUAAAUAUAUUGCUGCCAUUACACUCUACAAGAAACACAUUCCAUAAAAACGAAGGUGUUGUAAAUUAUACAAAUAUGAUGCUAACAAGCCAGGAAACGCGCCGCUAAUGAGGUCAGCUACAGAACUCCCGCAGCGCUGCAAAUCAUGUGCCAAUCCUGCAUCUGAGGUACAAGAACAGCAUUGGGUCAGCAUUUUCUGAGCGUGUUUGUAGCCUGCUGUUUGGUGUAUGGUUACACAGGUAGAUAAAAAGCCGCCACAUCUCCCCCCACGCCGCUCCCCCCCAACUUUGUUUAUGUGUCAAAUAUCCAAGUCACCAGACGAGCAUGCUCUGCAUUAAUGUACCUGACUAUUAUGCCUAUUGUUCUCCUGCUCAGAGUGGAGAAUUAGUCACUCAGAUGUGUAAAUAUUGGUUACAGUUUUGAAGCAUGCAAGCUUUGUGUUUCUAUCAGCCCCAUUCCUGGAGGAAUUAUGCAUGCUGUUGGCACCGGGUUUUGUACACACUGUAUUUGCUAAAGCUCUAAAAAUCAAAUAAACAUGUUCUCGGCUCCUGAA